UACAGAGGGUGCAAGCGUUAAUCGGAAUUAUUGGGCGUAAAGGGCUUGUGGGUUGUUCUAUAAGUUAGAUGUGAAACCCCUGGGCUUAACCUGGGACGUGCAUUUAAUACUGUAGGGCUAGAGUAUGGUAGAGGAGUAGGGAAUUCCUGGUGUAGCAGUGAAAUGCGUAGAGAUCAGGAGGAACAUCGGUGGCGAAGGCGCUACUCUGGACUAAUACUGACACUGAGGAGCGAAGGCGUGGGGAGCAAACAGG
RNAcentral lists this ribosomal RNA (253 nucleotides) under uncultured bacterium. RNAcentral's name for it is "partial 16S ribosomal RNA". It matches the Rfam family "Bacterial small subunit ribosomal RNA", at positions 524 to 776 of the family's 1533-position model. The record is from RNAcentral.